AUUGAACGCUGGCGGCAGGCCUAACACAUGCAAGUCGAACGAGUGGCGGACGGGUGAGUAAUGUCUGGGAAACUGCCUGAUGGAGGGGGAUAACUACUGGAAACGGUAGCUAAUACCGCAUACCAUCAUAUGUGCCCAGAUGGUAUUAGCUAGUUGGUGGGGUAAAGGCUCACAAAGGCGACGAUCCCCAGCGGGUCUGAGAGGCUGACCAGCCACACUGGAACGGAGACACGGUCCAGACUCCGACGGGAGGCAGCAGUGGGGAAUAUUGCACAAUGGGAGCAAGCCUGAUGCAGCCAUGCCGCGUGUAUGAAGAAGGCCUUCGGGUUGUAAAUUACUUUCAGCGGGGAGGCGUUACCCGCAGAAGAAGCACCGGCUAACUCCGUGCCAGCAGCCGCGGUAAUUC
This 406-nucleotide ribosomal RNA is filed under the name uncultured bacterium. Its description in RNAcentral is "partial 16S ribosomal RNA". It matches the Rfam family "Bacterial small subunit ribosomal RNA", at positions 30 to 526 of the family's 1533-position model. The record is from RNAcentral.